GUAAAUAAUAAAGGGCGUAUGGUGGAUGCCUAGGCUCUCAGAGGCGAAGAAGGACGUGAUAAGCUGCGAAAAGCUCCGUUUAGGUGCAAAUAACCUUUGAUGCGGAGAUCUCCGAAUGGGAUAACCCAAUAUGUUGAAGACAUAUUAUACCGUAAGGUAGGCAAACGCAGGGAACUGAAACAUCUAAGUACCUGCAGGAGAAGAAAACAAACGUGAUUCCCCCAGUAGCGGCGAGCGACCGGGGAUAAGCCCAAACCGUUAUUGUUUCGGCAGUAGCGGGGUAGUAGGACUGCGACAUUGAUGAAAUAAAUGAAAUGGAACACCUUGGAAAAUGUGAUCACAGAGGGUGAUAAUCCCGUACAUGCAAGUUUAUGAAUCAUAGCAGACUCCUGAGUAAGUCGGGACACGUGUAAUCCUGACCGAAUCCGCCGGGACCAUCCGGCAAGGCUAAAUACUCCUGAGAGACCGAUAGUGAACCAGUACCGUGAGGGAAAGGUGAAAAGCACUUCGAACAGAAGAGUGAAAUAGUCCCUGAACCCAUACGCCUACAAGCAGUCGGAGCCGCUUCGUGCGGUGACGGCGUGCCUUUUGCAUAAUGAGCCUACGAGUUACUCAUCACCAGCGAGGUUAAGUACUUCAGGUACGUAAGCCGAAGCGAAAGCGAGUCUGAAUAGGGCGUCAAGUUGGUGGUGGUAGACGCGAAACCUUAGUGAUCUACCCAUGGGCAGGGUGAAGGUUUGGUAACACAAACUGGAGGCCCGAACCGGUAAACGUUGAAAAGUUUUCGGAUGACCUGUGGGUAGGGGUGAAAGGCCAAUCAAACUGGGAAAUAGCUCGUACUCUCCGAAAUGCAUUUAGGUGCAGCCUCUGUUGUUUUGUUCUAGAGGUAGAGCUACUGAUUGGAUGCGAGGGCUUCACCGCCUAUCAAAUCCGGCCAAACUCCGAAUGCUAGAACAUGAAGACAGGGAGUGAGCCAGCGGGUGCUAAGGUCCGUUGACGAAAGAGGGAGAACUCAGACCAUCAGCUAAGGUCCCCAAUUGUAUGCUAAGUUGGAAUUAAAACGGGGUGGGACUGCUUAGACAGCUAGGAUGUUGGCUUGGAAGCAGCCAUUCAUUUAAAGAGUGCGUAACAGCUCACUAGUCGAGCGGUCCUGCAUGGAUAAUACGCGGGCAUAAGCAUAUAACCGAAGCUAUGGGAUUGUAGAUGAUACAAUCGGUAGGAGAGCAUUCCAUUCAGCAUAGAAGCAGUACCGUGAGGUAUUGUGGAGCGGAUGGAAAAGCAAAUGUAGGCAUAAGUAACGAUAAUGCGGGUGAGAACCCCGCACGCCGAAAGAUCAAGGAUUCCCCGGCAAUGUCAAUCAUCCGGGGGUAAGUCGGAUCCUAAGGGUAAGCCGAGUGGCGAUCCCGAUGGUAAACAGGUUAAUAUUCCUGUACUGAUCAUAACUGCGAUGCAGCGACGCAGAGGUGACACUGCUGCGUACUGACGGAAUAGUACGUUGAAACCCGUAUUCUUUGAUACCGGUAGUGAAGCACGCCGGUAGAGAUGAAAGGUGAUAGUACCGCAAUGCUUCGGUUGCGCGGAUAAUGCAGGUAAGCUGACUGCCAAGAAAACCUGCUAAGCUUCAGGUAAUGAUCAUCCGUACUGUAAACGGACACACGUGAUCAGGUAGAAAAUACUAAGGCGCUCGAGAGAUUCAUGGUUAAGGAACUAGGCAAAAUGGUCCUGUAACUUCGGGAUAAAGGACGCUCUUGUGAAAGAGCCGCAGAUAAUAGGCCCAGGCGACUGUUUACCAAAAACACAUGGCUAUGCUAAUUCGCAAGAAGAUGUAUAUGGCCUGACACCUGCCCGGUGCCGGAAGGUUAAGAGGAGAGCUCAGAGGCAACUCGAAGGUUUGAAUUGAAGCCCCGGUAAACGGCGGCCGUAACUAUAACGGUCCUAAGGUAGCGAAAUUCCUUGUCGGGUAAGUUCCGACCUGCACGAAUGG
RNAcentral lists this ribosomal RNA (1984 nucleotides) under human gut metagenome. RNAcentral describes it as "bacterial LSU rRNA". It matches the Rfam family "Bacterial large subunit ribosomal RNA", at positions 1 to 1999 of the family's 2925-position model. The record is from RNAcentral.